AACGGACGAGAAGCUUGCUUCUCUGAUGUUAGCGGCGGACGGGUGAGUAACACGUGGAUAACCUACCUAUAAGACUGGGAUAACUUCGGGAAACCGGAGCUAAUACCGGANAAUAUUUUGAACCGCAUGGUUCAAAAGUGAAAGACGGUCUUGCUGUCACUUAUAGAUGGAUCCGCGCUGCAUUAGCNAGUUGGUAAGGUAACGGCUUACCAAGGCAACGAUGCAUAGCCGACCUGAGAGGGUGAUCGGCCACACUGGAACUGAGACACGGUCCAGACUCCUACGGGAGGCAGCAGUAGGGAAUCUUCCGCAAUGGGCGAAAGCCUGACGGAGCAACGCCGCGUGAGUGAUGAAGGUCUUCGGAUCGUAAAACUCUGUUAUUAGGGAAGAACAUAUGUGUAAGUAACUGUGCACAUCUUGACGGUACCUAAUCAGAAAGCCACGGCUAACUACGUGCCAGCAGCCGCGGUAAUACGUAGGUGGCAAGCGUUAUCCGGAAUUAUUGGGCGUAAAGCGCGCGUAGGCGGUUUUUUAAGUCUGAUGUGAAAGCCCACGGCUCAACCGUGGAGGGUCAUUGGAAACUGGAAAACUUGAGUGCAGAAGAGGAAAGUGGAAUUCCAUGUGUAGCGGUGAAAUGCGCAGAGAUAUGGAGGAACACCAGUGGCGAAGGCGACUUUCUGGUCUGUAACUGACGCUGAUGUGCGAAAGCGUGGGGAUCAAACAGGAUUAGAUACCCUGGUAGUCCACGCCGUAAACGAUGAGUGCUAAGUGUUAGGGGGUUUCCGCCCCUUAGUGCUGCAGCUAACGCAUUAAGCACUCCGCCUGGGGAGUACGACCGCAAGGUUGAAACUCAAAGGAAUUGACGGGGACCCGCACAAGCGGUGGAGCAUGUGGUUUANNUCGAAGCAACGCGAAGAACCUUACCAAAUCUUGACAUCCUUUGACNACUCUAGA
This 954-nucleotide ribosomal RNA is filed under the name Staphylococcus sp. SC25. RNAcentral's name for it is "bacterial SSU rRNA". It matches the Rfam family "Bacterial small subunit ribosomal RNA", at positions 65 to 1004 of the family's 1533-position model. Lineage: Bacteria; Bacillati; Bacillota; Bacilli; Caryophanales; Staphylococcaceae. The record is from RNAcentral.